GUGUGAGAUGAGGAGAGCUGGCUCUGACUGGCUCUGACUCUUGCUGGCUUUGGCAUUGGAUGGGCCAGCCAGGGCAGAGCAGGAGAGCUCACCUCUGUGGUGUGUGUACAGAUGGCUGGUGUGGUGAGAAGCUUAGAUACCUCCUAGGCCCAGAUCCAGGCUUUGAAUUGGCCCUAACCUAACAUCCAUGGAUGAACUGCUGGAGGUUGUGAAGGGGCCUACAGAUCCAGAACUAUGGGAUCUCCAUGACAUAGGGUAAUAACAGGACUCCCAGAGGAGGUCCAGUAUUGAUAGUGUAGCAGAAGCAGGAGGCUUCAUACCAGACCAGAAGACUCAUGGCAUUGAACAUUUGCAGGCAAAGAAGUGUGGUCUAAAGGGUGUACCGUGAGACACACUGUGACCCACUACAACUUCCACAAUGAGAUUUUUUUCUCUCUUGAGGGGGAGGUUGCAAAGGUGGAGGUUGGGUAUGAGAAGAGGAGAUGAGUGGGAUUGGGGUACAUGGUGUGAAAUUCACAAAGAACCCAUAAAAAGUUCAAAAAGUACUUUUAUUUUUUGCAGUUAUAAUUAUGUAAUUUAUCUCUCCCUUUUCCUUCCUUUAUACCCUCCACAUAACCCUUUCUUUUUUUCAAAUUCAUGCCUUUUUCAUAAUUGUUGUUAUAUACCUAUAUGUAUGUGCAUAUACGUAUGUAUCCCUAAAUACACAAGCACAGCCUGCUCAGUGUGUAUAGUGUUACUUGUAUGUGUAUUUUCAGGGCUGACCGUUCUGGAUAAUCAUUCCAUGUGCUGUUCCUUGGGGAAGGCCAUUUCUAUAGCUUGGCAUUCCUCAGUAGCCUGUAGCUCUUUGUGUAGCCUUGAGGCCUCAUGGGCUUUUCCUAGCAAUUUAGACAUUCUUAAAUGUCUAAGAUGGGUGUGGUGGUGUGUGCUUGAUGACUCUCUGCCUCCUGUUCUCAUCCGAGUGUUUGUGUGUUCAUUUACAGCUAUGAGUAUUUAACAUUGUUUGUUUGUUUGUUUGUUUGUUUGUUUGUUUAUACUUGGUCUCAUGACCUUGAACUCACAACAUACUCGAGGAUGACCAUGUAAUUCUCAUCUUCCUGCCUUUACCUCUCGAGUGCUGCGGUUAAAGGUGUUUGCCAGCCACUCUGCUGAUGUGGUUCUGGGGGUUGUGUUUGCUGUGCAGGUGAUCUACCAGCUAAGCUUCAUUUCACCCACCUCACCCCUUUACCUUGACAUCACAGUGUCACAAGGAGGUCAGGUUCCCAGCUCACAGUCCACUGGAGGAUACCCAGCACCCCUCAGAGGACAUGACAAAUAUGGACCCAUGACUGGAUCCAGUCUGCCUGAUACUGCACGGCCAUCUUCAUCAAACACCGCCUCCAGUUGGCUCACUGCUAACAUCACAGAAUGAACUAAAACCAUUCCAUUGAUAACCACCUUGGAUCCAAAUGGCACCUUUGAGAAGCAAAAAUGUAACCUCUGGUUUAUAUUCCAGGGUUCUUGGCAGAAGGAUGGAUUGAUCCUGUCCAACUGAGCACACGCGGGAGCAGAGUGAGCCUGGUGCCCCUCAGUUCUCUCACACCUGCGGCUCCCCUCUCAUCACGGAUGUGAAGUAGGAAAGAAAUAGUUGAUAAACUUGAGGUGUGAUUCUUAGUGCCCGCCCUGCAGAGUUCCUGUGGAGGCUGAGAGGCACCUGCACCUUUAAGGAGGAUUAAAAUGUCUUCUUAAUGAA
Long non-coding RNA from Rattus norvegicus (Norway rat), 1729 nucleotides. RefSeq lists it as uncharacterized. Lineage: Eukaryota; Metazoa; Chordata; Mammalia; Rodentia; Muridae. The record is from RefSeq and is a predicted model, not a curated record.